UACGUAGGGUGCAAGCGUUAAUCGGAAUUACUGGGCGUAAAGCGUGCGCUGGCGGUUUUGUAAGUCUGUCGUGAAAGCCCCGGGCUCAACCUGGGAAUUGCGAUGGAGACUGCAAGGCUUGAAUCUGGCAGAGGGGGGUAGAAUUCCACGUGUAGCAGUGAAAUGCGUAGAGAUGUGGAGGAACACCGAUGGCGAAGGCAGCCCCCUGGGUCAAGAUUGACGCUCAUGCACGAAAGCGUGGGGAGCAAACAGG
This 253-nucleotide ribosomal RNA is filed under the name uncultured bacterium. RNAcentral's name for it is "partial 16S ribosomal RNA". It matches the Rfam family "Bacterial small subunit ribosomal RNA", at positions 524 to 776 of the family's 1533-position model. The record is from RNAcentral.